CAUAUCAAUAAGCGGAGGAAAAGAAACUAACAAGGAUUCCCCUAGUAACGGCGAGUGAAGCGGGAUGAGCUCAAAUUUGAAAUCUGGCUGGUUUACUAGUCCGAGUUGUAAUUUAAAGAAGCGUUUUCGGUGGCAGCCUGGGUAUAAAUCCUUUGGAAUAGGGUAUCAUAGAGGGUGAGAAUCCCGUCUUUGACCUAGUGCAUGCUACUAUGUGAUACGUUUUCAAAGAGUCGAGUUGUUUGGGAAUGCAGCUCAAAAUGGGUGGUAAAUUUCAUCUAAAGCUAAAUAUUGGCGAGAGACCGAUAGCGAACAAGUACCGUGAGGGAAAGAUGAAAAGAACUUUGAAAAGAGAGUUAAACAGUGCGUGAAAUUGUUGAAAGGGAAACGUUUGACACCAGUCAUGUGGGUGGAAAAUCAGUCUUUUGCAUUGGGGAGUUGUAAAGGUUCGGACCGCAAGGCCGGCUUUUGCUUCAUCUUUGGUGUAAGGGAUGCACUUUUUCAUCUACAGGUCAACAUCAGUUUCUUUUGCUGGACAAAACUCUGAGAGAAGGUAGCAGCUUAGGCUGUGUUAUAGCUCUGGAGCGAUACAGUGAAGGGGACUGAGGUUUUCGCAGCGUGUGCUCUCGGGCAAGGCUGGAUGGGUGCUAUGGGAUCGUUCGGGGUACAAUGCCUGGCAUUUUGCUUCGUGUCUUUUCUAUACUCGCU
Molecule: ribosomal RNA, 705 nt
Filed under: Mortierellales sp.
Lineage: Eukaryota; Fungi; Mortierellomycota
Description: eukaryotic LSU rRNA
Rfam family: Eukaryotic large subunit ribosomal RNA
Source: RNAcentral